ACGGGGGGUGCAAGCGUUGUUCGGAAUCACUGGGCGUAAAGCGCGCGCAGGCGGCUUGGUAAGUCAGAUGUGAAAUCCCCCGGCUUAACCGAGGAAGUGCAAUUGAUACUGGCAGGCUAGAGUACGGGAGAGGUGAGAGGAAUUCCCGGGGUAGGAGUGAAAUUCGGAGAUACCUGGGGGACCACCGGUGGCGAAGGCGACUCUCUGGGUGGGUUCUGACACUGAGGAACGAAAGCGGGGGGAGCAAACAG
RNAcentral lists this ribosomal RNA (251 nucleotides) under uncultured prokaryote. RNAcentral's name for it is "partial 16S rRNA". It matches the Rfam family "Bacterial small subunit ribosomal RNA", at positions 525 to 775 of the family's 1533-position model. The record is from RNAcentral.